GGUAACAGCUCAAAUUUGAAAUCUGGGUCUUUCAGGCUCCGAGUUGUAAUUUGUAGAAGAUGCUUUGGGUGCGGCCCCGGUCUAAGUUCCUUGGAACAGGACGUCAUAGAGGGUGAGAAUCCCGUAUGUGAUCGGUGGCUUGCGCCCGUGUAAAGCUCUUUCGACGAGUCGGGUUGUUUGGGAAUGCAGCUCUAAAUGGGUGGUAAAUUUCAUCUAAAGCUAAAUAUUGGCCAGAGACCGAUAGCGCACAAGUAGAGUGAUCGAAAGAUGAAAAGGACUUUGGAAAGAGAGUUAAACAGUACGUGAAAUUGUUGAAAGGGAAGCGCUUGCAACCAGACUUGCGCGGGGUUGAUCAUCCGGGGUUCUCCCCGGUGCACUCGGCCUCGCUCAGGCCAGCAUCGGUUUCGGUGGUUGGAUAAAGGCCUUGGGAAUGUGACUUCUUUCGGGGAGUGUUAUAGCCCUCGGUGCAAUGCAGCCUACCGGGACCGAGGACCGCGCUUCGGCUAGGAUGCUGGCGUAAUGGUUGUAAGCGACCCGUCUUGAAACACGGACCAAGGAGUCUAACAUCUAUGCGAGUGUUUGGGUGUCAAACCCAUACGCGUAAUGAAAGUGAACGGAGGUGAGAACCCUUAAGGGUGCAUCAUCGACCGAUCCUGAUGUCUUCGGAUGGAUUUGAGUAAGAGCAUAGCUGUUGGGACCCGAAAGAUGGUGAACUAUGCCUGAAUAGGGUGAAGCCAGAGGAAACUCUGGUGGAGGCUCGCAGCGGUUCUGACGUGCAAAUCGAUCGUCAAAUUUGGGCAUAGG
Molecule: ribosomal RNA, 804 nt
Filed under: Pezicula sporulosa
Lineage: Eukaryota; Fungi; Ascomycota; Leotiomycetes; Helotiales; Dermateaceae
Description: eukaryotic LSU rRNA
Rfam family: Eukaryotic large subunit ribosomal RNA
Source: RNAcentral